GACGAACGCUGGCGGCGUGCUUAACACAUGCAAGUCGAACGGUGAAGCGCCUUCCUUUUUGGUGGGUGUGGAUGAGUGGCGAACGGGUGAGUAACACGUGAGUAACCUGCCCCCUUCUUCUGGAUAACCGCAUGAAAGUGUGGCUAAUACGGGAUAUUCUGGGUCUGUCGCAUGAUGGGUCUGGGAAAGAUAUUGUUUCGGUGGGGGAUGGGCUCGCGGCCUAUCAGCUUGUUGGUGGGGUGAUGGCCUACCAAGGCGGUGACGGGUAGCCGGCCUGAGAGGGUGGACGGUCACACUGGGACUGAGACACGGCCCAGACUCCUACGGGAGGCAGCAGUGGGGAAUAUUGCACAAUGGGCGCAAGCCUGAUGCAGCGACGCCGCGUGAGGGAUGGAGGCCGUCGGGUUGUGAACCUCUUUCGCCAGUGAAGCAGGCCUGCCUCGUUUGUGGGUGGGUUGACGGGAGCUGGAUAAGAAGCGCCGCUAACUACGUG
This 493-nucleotide ribosomal RNA is filed under the name uncultured bacterium. RNAcentral describes it as "partial 16S ribosomal RNA". It matches the Rfam family "Bacterial small subunit ribosomal RNA", at positions 28 to 507 of the family's 1533-position model. The record is from RNAcentral.